AUCAUCAUCAUCAUCACCUUUGCAUAACUAAUUAGCAGAUCCUGGCUUUUUUUUUCAAUUUACGACUUCAGAAAGAAGGGAGUGCCAUACAUAACACGGGCGGAAAUGUCACCAGAGUAAACAAGCAGGUCCCCGCAGGCAGAGCUUUAUUACGAAAGGACACUGUGAAGUCAUAAAGCUGAUAAGAAACCGCUAGAUAAAGCUGGUAAGAAUCCCGCUAGGCUCAGUGUUGGUUGGCUUCUUCGUCAACACAGCUUCGCAAUGCGUCUGCUGCGUCUCCUGUUGGUGCUGGCGGCGGCCGUCCUGGCUGCCUCGCCCGUCGCUGCGAAGCCAUACUACCCUCCAAUCCCACCGCGACUGCCAUAUCCCAGUCAAUUACCAGUCCCUUGGUGGUAUUGAAUCAGAGGUACUGCAGGGUAAGCCGCCUCACGCAUCACCUGGACACAACACCUGCCUGCUGCCGGAAGCUCAUUAACCUGGACACUCCUAUUAUCUCCGCCUCCCUGCGACACCUUGGUCUCCUGACGCUGCUGAAUGUUCGUAUUCCCUUAAGUGAAACGGAGCCAUUAUUUUCUUAACCUUUAAAUGUAUCCCUGCUUAAAGUUACAGAAAUAAAUGUUUGCAUAAUU
Long non-coding RNA from Scylla paramamosain (green mud crab), 629 nucleotides. RefSeq lists it as uncharacterized. NCBI's taxonomy places the organism in Eukaryota, Metazoa, Arthropoda, Malacostraca, Decapoda, Portunidae. The transcript has 2 exons. The record is from RefSeq and is a predicted model, not a curated record.